UUUUUGGAGUUGGUCCACAUGGUUAUCAAACAGGCGUUUCUGGCGAUUCUCUUGGUGCAGAGUAUGAACGCCGUUGAAAGCUCUGACUUCACCAUAAAAAAGUGCUAUGAAUGCUACAGUUAAACAAGCAGUUGAGGUGAAAUUGUCCGUUGCAGUUUGUGUCAUGAAGUUACAGAUGUAGUUUUUACUAUUUCAGAACGUUGUUGUUUCGGAAAUUGAAUCUCAGCCUUCUUCAAUGGCUCCAAAGAAAGGUGUUCAGGUAGUCACAACUAAGCAGAAAACGAUAUGAUUAUUUACCUAGUAGUUAUGGCCAGAAUUUGGCGGUUUAUUUUUGCCUGGAGCAAUUUGCCCGUUACGAACAUUUGUUGUUACAGUACGUUCUAAGCACAAAUAACAAAAUUCUUUAGCUUAUUCAUGGCUCUUCAAACUUUUCUUCUUCCUUCUGCAAUCUCUAUUCACAAAGAGGUACAAAUGCCCAAAUUUUAUUCAGUUUGACCCUAAAUUCAAUCAGUUUUGGUUCUGUUUUGUUGCUUCAUUUGAAUUUGUAAUGUGAAACAGGUGAAUGGAGCUUACGUUUCAAAACUAUGUUAAAUCUGAUUUCAAUACUCUUUUGAUAGGAAUAAAGGAGUUUGAUCGUGUUUGAUACACCUUCGAGGAUCUUCGAUAUGAAGAAAGUGAUCUUGCAUAUUUUCAUGGAAGAUUGAAUAGUUAUUAAAGUCGAGCGUCAGCUUGCACCUAGGCGAGAACUCCAGGCGAAGUGCAUUAAAUGCACAUAUGGUCCAAGGCAUUUAAAGCGAUUCCCACGUGCACUUAAUUAGAUGGGUCUAGAUGCCGAUCUUGGUCCAGGUGAGCUCGAUGUAACAAAUCCUGGACUGGUUUGCAGAAGGUGGAAAAAGUUGGGGCAAACGGUCUGUUUUGCUACCUUGUGGAGGUCGUCGUUGGCUCGAAACGCUGCUGAGUUUAAUGGGAGAUCAAUGUCGGUGCUGGAAAUAGUGGAAAUAAUCAAAGAAGACUCCUAUAUUUGGUUUAAAAAUAGGACUAGGGAUAAGUUAAUAGAUUGGUGGCUGGCUUAUGUUUAAUGUAAAUGCAGUUUUGUAACUUGGCUUGCCUUUCUUGGUGUUACAUUUUUUUUUUCAAGUGAUUUGUUUGCUAAUUUGAUGAUUUGAUGAAGUAAUUUGAACUAAUGAAAUCAGUUAAUUUGUU
This 1203-nucleotide long non-coding RNA is filed under the name Helianthus annuus (common sunflower). Lineage: Eukaryota; Viridiplantae; Streptophyta; Magnoliopsida; Asterales; Asteraceae. The record is from RNAcentral.